UUGACCUCAAAUCAGGUAGGACUACCCGCUGAACUUAAGCAUAUCAAUAAGCGGAGGAAAAGAAACUAACAAGGAUUCCCCUAGUAACUGCGAGUGAAGCGGGAAAAGCUCAAAUUUAAAAUCUGGCAGUCUUUUUUUUCUUCUUUGGCUGUCCGAGUUGUAAUCUAGAGAAGUGCUUACCUGCACUGG
This 189-nucleotide ribosomal RNA is filed under the name Amanita friabilis. RNAcentral's name for it is "partial 28S ribosomal RNA". It matches the Rfam family "Eukaryotic large subunit ribosomal RNA", at positions 1 to 174 of the family's 3401-position model. Lineage: Eukaryota; Fungi; Basidiomycota; Agaricomycetes; Agaricales; Amanitaceae. The record is from RNAcentral.